UGCAAAGUCACCCAGGAAAAAUGUGAGGAGUUGGACAAAUUUCUCUGUGACAAUCACACCUCCCAGUAUCUCCACACUCAUUGCCAUAUGGAGAAAUGUGGACUAACUUUGGUCGGAGAUUCUACCACCACAACAGCAACACCAACAACAUAGCUGAAAGGUUCUUUCUCUCUUUGAAAUACCAAUUCCUUAGGGGAAAACCCAACAAGAGGGUAGAUCAGCUGCUGAGACUCCUGUACAGUGAUGUCCAAGACAAUUACAGUUACCUAGAUCACCUGACACAGAUCAGACGCAUGAAACCUGCCAGGAAGGACCCCUUCCACUGAAGCUGCAGAGAUGAUGAGGAAUGGAGUGAUGGCCUGGUGAUUGACCGCAAUGGCACCUGUAGUGUUCCUUCUCAGUCCAAUCCACAACAUUACCUGGUUGAUCUUGUGAACUUCACAUGUGUGUGCAGAGCCUCUUAGUCAGGAAAUGUGUGCAAGCACAUACCCUUUGCAAACGUGCUGUUGGUCAGAGGUCAGUCAGUGAAUGAAAUAUGGCAAAAACGUGCUCAGGUUAUAGUGGAGAAGUCAUACCUGCUGAUAGAGCAGUCUAACUGUAUUUUGGGGUAAUGGUAGUCCUGGUGUUGUCAAUCUGGAGAAUGGUUAUUAUUCAUGUAACACCAGCAGCUUUGGGCAAAAGUCUGUCUGUCAACAUGUUUAUCACAUGAUAACAGAGGAGCAAACUGAAAAUGAGGUAGCUACAUCAAUUGAAGCAGGACCACCAAGCACUUCUUCAGCAACAGCCCCCACCACUGCAAACACACUGAUAUGCAGACCAUGCUUGUUGAACUUCACCAGUGGAGCACCUCUUCUCAGUACAUGGAGACAACAGAGGUGUGCAACUCUGUAGAGAGAGCCUACAUGAUUGCCUUUGGUAAAUGUCCCUCUUGCACAUCAGCCUGCAGAAUCACACCUCUACAUCCAUACAGACAGAGAAUACACGGACAAAACACAGCAGGGGGUCAUGCAUAUGCCAGUAUCCAUGGUCAGAGAAAGAGGGCUGUUAACACAGACACAUUUGUCAGGGUAAAAUGAAGGAGAAAGGGACUAAGAAAAUAAAUACAUGCAGUGAAUACUAUGAAGCACACACACCUUUUUCACAUACAAAUUUGAGUGCAGGAAUGUGGUAAUCUACUGCACUUUGAGUUAAUAACAUCCGAGCAAUUCAGCCUCUUUCAUUUGUUCCCACUUUGUAUAUAGUAAGACAUA
This is a long non-coding RNA of Coregonus clupeaformis (lake whitefish), 1250 nucleotides long. RefSeq lists it as uncharacterized. The record is from RefSeq and is a predicted model, not a curated record. Lineage: Eukaryota; Metazoa; Chordata; Actinopteri; Salmoniformes; Salmonidae. The transcript is spliced from 3 exons.